Molecule: unclassified non-coding RNA, 224 nt
Filed under: Hevea brasiliensis (rubber tree)
Lineage: Eukaryota; Viridiplantae; Streptophyta; Magnoliopsida; Malpighiales; Euphorbiaceae
Source: RNAcentral
ACAACAAAUCAAAACGAGAGAGCAGUGAGUCUGGAAGUCCAAUGUUCUUUGUUGGAGUUAAUGAUCGGUCGUAAGAACCAUAUAUGGGAUUUGCAGCUGCAACUACACUGCAUCGAGCAUUCAAGGAUGCAUGAAUUCCUGCUUUAGCAAUGGUUACAGUCUGCUGUUCCAUAACCUCAUGUAUGGCAACUCGAUCUUGGUCAUUCAUUUUAUCAAACUCAUCA